RNAcentral lists this ribosomal RNA (499 nucleotides) under uncultured bacterium. Its description in RNAcentral is "partial 16S ribosomal RNA". It matches the Rfam family "Bacterial small subunit ribosomal RNA", at positions 27 to 506 of the family's 1533-position model. The record is from RNAcentral.
GGACGAACGCUGGCGGCGUGCCUAAUACAUGCAAGUCGAGCGAAGUUUUUCUGGUGCUUGCACCGGAAAAACUUAGCGGCGAACGGGUGAGUAACACGUAAAGAACCUGCCUCAUAGACUGGGACAACUAUUGGAAACGAUAGCUAAUACCGGAUAAUAGCAUUAACUGCAUGGUUGAUGUUUAAAAGUUGGUUUUGCUAACACUAUGAGAUGGCUUUGCGGUGCAUUAGCUAGUUGGUGGGGUAAAGGCCUACCAAGGCGACGAUGCAUAGCCGACCUGAGAGGGUGAUCGGCCACACUGGGACUGAGACACGGCCCAGACUCCUACGGGAGGCAGCAGUAGGGAAUCUUCCGCAAUGGGCGAAAGCCUGACGGAGCAACGCCGCGUGAGUGAAGAAGGAUUUCGGUUCGUAAAGCUCUGUUGUUAGGGAAGAAUGAUUGUGUAGUAACUAUACACAGUAGAGACGGUACCUAACCAGAAAGCCACGGCUAACUACGU